CCGCCUCUACCGCCCAGCGGACGCCGCCGCCGCCGCCGCCGCCGCCGCCGCGCACCUAGCUAGGUCCCCGAAGGGCGGGCAGGUGAGGCCUCGGGGUGCCGAUCCCUAGUGUCGACUAUGCGAGGUCUGAUUCCGGAGCUGCAAUGAUUGAAGUGGUAGCAGAGCUGAGCCGGGGUCCUGUAUUUUUGGCUGGGGAGGCGCUGGAGUGUGUAGUGACCGUCACCAACCCCCUUCCCCCCACGGCCACUUCUGCAUCCAGUGAGGCCCUGGCCUGGGCCAGUGCCCAAAUCCACUGCCAGUUCCAUGUCAGUGAGAGUCGAGUAGCACUGCCUCCCCCUGACUCUAGUCAGCCAGAUGUCCAGCCCGACAGCCAGACUGUCUUUCUGCCACACCGAGGUGAGAGGGGCCAGUGUAUCCUUUCUACUCCACCAAAAAUUCUAUUCUGUGACCUGAGGCUAGAUCCUGGAGAGUCCAAAUCAUGUGAGUGAUUGUCCCCAUCCCUGAAUUGCCUCCUAAGUCUCGUGGAGGGAGGACUCCUCUGGUGCCUCUGGCUGCCCUGACAACUACUUCCCAACCAGACUCCUACAGUGAAGUGCUGCCCAUAGAGGGACCACCCUCCUUUCGGGGUCAGUCAGUCAAGUACGUCUACAAACUGACCAUUGGCUGCCAGCGUGUCAACUCCCCUAUCACUUUACUCAGAGUCCCUCUGAGGGUUCUUGUGCUGACUGGCCUUCAGGAUGUCCGGUUUCCCCAGGAUGAGGCUGUAGCCCCAUCCAGUCCAUUCUUGGAGGAGGAUGAAGGUGGGAAGAAGGAUUCAUGGCUAGCUGAGCUGGCUGGGGAACGCCUAAUGGCUGCCACAUCCUGCCGCAGCCUCCAUCUAUACAAUAUCAGUGAUGGCCGAGGGAAAGUUGGGACGUUUGGCAUCUUCAAAUCUGUGUACAGACUUGGCGAGGACGUGGUGGGGACCUUAAACUUAGGGGAAGGAACCGUAGCUUGUUUGCAGUUUUCAGUCAGCUUACAGACCGAGGAGCGUGUACAGCCUGAGUACCAGCGGCGACGUGGGGCAGGGGGUGUCCCCUCUGUGUCACAUGUGACUCAUGCCCGGCACCAGGAAUCCUGCCUACAUACAACUAGAACCAGCUUCUCCCUCCCAAUCCCUCUCAGCUCCACCCCAGGCUUCUGUACAGCCAUUGUGUCCUUGAAGUGGAGAUUGCAUUUUGAAUUUGUAACGUCCCGAGAACCAGGAUUGGUACUCCUACCCCCUAUGGAACAGCCCGAACCUACCACCUGGACAGGACCUGAGCAAGUACCUGUAGACACCUUCAGCUGGGACCUCCCCAUCAAGCUGGAGGGAACCUGGGUAUUUUGACACGGGAUCAUCUGUAAGGCCCCAUCCUCCCUGUGCCCUCUCUGCUGCUCCUCCAUUCCUAAUGCCUCACCCCACUUUACCUUGAGCUUGGAAGUAGCACUUGCUGUAGACUCCUGGGUGCUGGAGGAGUAGAGACAUCACGAAGCAGAUGAUCCCCCAGCCUCCUAGGAUCCCCUUGGCCUGUCCAGCCCAGAGCAUCCUUAGGGCCAUUGCUGCUGCACAG
Molecule: small RNA, 1592 nt
Filed under: Pongo abelii (Sumatran orangutan)
Lineage: Eukaryota; Metazoa; Chordata; Mammalia; Primates; Hominidae
Description: retained intron
Source: RNAcentral